Long non-coding RNA from Triticum aestivum (bread wheat), 2333 nucleotides. RefSeq lists it as uncharacterized. The record is from RefSeq and is a predicted model, not a curated record. NCBI's taxonomy places the organism in Eukaryota, Viridiplantae, Streptophyta, Magnoliopsida, Poales, Poaceae. The transcript has 3 exons.
CAUGCGCUCGACAGAGACGACGGGAUCGGUCGCCGCGCGAGAGAGAAGGGGGUCCGUCGCCGAGGAACGCCUCGCUUGGGUGCACGGUGAUGGCAGGCCUCGAGUAGUCGAGCGGCCAUGCGUCUCUUCCCCGCGACCUCUGCCGCGGCGGCGACCAAGACCCCCGCAAGGCCCGCGUCCUCGGCCGCGGCAGCGGCGACGGCCAAGUUCGUCUCCCGCGCGCGGUUCCCGCACGCCUCCGAGAACUCCGAACCCAACAUCGUCGCCUCCCCUCCCUCGACGACGCGCGGGUGAAUUGUACAAGAUGGUAGAUUAGUUCGAGCAGGGACGACGAUUGUGGCUUUGUGCGAUACGGAUGCAGAGAUUAGCUAUCACUCACACAUCGACAUACUGGUAGCAACAAUAUUAGCUUAGCGAACAACCAUGGAUUGGCACCACAUUGGCUGGCACGUGAGAGCAAGGCAAGCAAGUAAAAGGUGUUUUGCAUGUCUGUGAAACAAGCAAGGAGAAGCAAAGUUUGUAACUAUACAUCCAGAUCGAGCCAGGAGGCCAGGAGCAGAGGGAAGACAGAUGAGGGUCGAUCCAGCCGCCACGGGCGAUGCGGCCGAUGAGGGGAUCGGUGGGGCGAUGCGGGCAACAAGGGGAUGGGUCGAUCCAGCCGACAUGGGCGAUUUGUCUGCCAGGGAGAAAGGAGAAGAGGCAAUCAUGCUUCAGUCUCUGUUCAGACAUUCAUAGCAGGUGAUGGGCCCGGUGAUGAUGGCGUUCUUCUGCAUGAACGUGAACCUGGUGUUCUUGAUGCGGAUGGUGAAACAGGCAACAACCGCAUAACCAACAACACGAGCAAGUGAACCAGAGGAUCCUAUUGGGGACGCUACAAGACCUACCAUCAUAUUACAAUCUUAGCUUCAUUGUCGUACGUACUACAUGUUACAUAUGACUUCACAUAUCACCUACACAAGCAAUGAUAAUAUGCGUUCCAAACAGAAUAUGUGUGAAUAACAUGAACAGUAGUAGAUAUGUGACUGCUGUGUCCAAAGCACCGCCCUUUUUUUUUAGUGAGUCCCUCACAAGCCUCCUUAGAUACUCUCUGUUCCUGUGGCUAUGUCGAUUUCUUACUACUAUCAUUAAAUAAAAGUUAUAACUAGAAUUGCCUAAGCACAACUAUGUUUUAGUUAUGGUUUGUGCAUCUUGGCCAUGUUCUGAACUUUCUAGCGAUGUUAUAUACCCUCGACACCUAAUGUUAUAUACUUUGAACAAUACGAAACCCAAGCUUUCAUCUGUAGUUUGUGUACUUAAUAUCGAUUAUUGUAGUUCUCACCAUAUCAGUAGUUGAAUCUUCAUUCUUUUUUUGUGUCAAAACUGCUUCGGUACUUCUUCACUUUGUACGCAAUGGGGAAAUGGUUUCUUUGUUCAUUUAUGAGAAAUGAUAAUUUAGAUUGUGGAAAUGUUUUCAGUAAAUCCGAAACAGCCAUUUAAUGUCAUUCUCUGUAUUGUCAUUUGUGCCAUUGGAGACUUGAAAAUAAAUGAAUAUAUUUAUCCUCUCUUUUCUUUCAGAAGUUGUAUGUUUAGAACAUGUGGUGAAUGGAGGUUUGCAUUCAUGGAGUUAUGUGAUUUAUUGUAGAGUAGCCUUUAUAGACUGUUGUCAAUUUUUUGAAUGAUAAUGACAUUUUCAAGCUUAGUCAGCUGCAUUACGCAAGGAGCACUUCAGCCUUGCGGAUACAGGACUAGAGAUGCUACUGUUUUUCUGCUACAACUAUGCCGUGUAGGUAAGAUGCACAUUUGUUUGUGCUUUUACUGGGAAAAAAAAUAUUCGGUGUUGUUGAUGUAUUGCAUAGUUCUAACUAUCUAUGAGUGUUUUUUGUCCCCUGUCUCUUUAAACCAAUGUCAUCUUUUAAUCUUUGUCAGCUAUAUUUGUAUGCAUCAAGUUUCAGUUAUUCUUGAUUAACUGCUAUCUUCUUUGUUGGUAAAAUCUCUUGCAUUUUCACAACACAGGUAUAGCCAUGAUCUGUGGAGGAACCGUGGAACUAGGAUAAUCUUUUGGCAUCACGCUAGCAUUCCCUGUUGGUCUACAUACUAUUAUUCUGAUACCUCUCUAAUGCCUCUCUUGUUAUGAUUACUCUUGGGGAAAGAUCAAUUUGUCCUGAUGCUUAUGUUCUCACUUGGGCAAAACUUGAACUAUAUGUCUUCUGCUAAAUGGACAAGACAACGCCUGCCAUUAAGGUUUGUGCUAAGGUAAAUGUGCAAUGCAAACAAAUGAGGCCCACAACCAUUCUGCACUCUCUCAUUUUAAAAUAAACAGAAAUUUUAUGUUUUACAAAAAAAUUCUAACACUA